UGCAACUUUUCUACUAAGCAAUGGAGUCCU
This 30-nucleotide non-coding RNA is filed under the name Mus musculus (house mouse). The record is from RNAcentral. Lineage: Eukaryota; Metazoa; Chordata; Mammalia; Rodentia; Muridae.